Molecule: ribosomal RNA, 437 nt
Filed under: uncultured bacterium
Lineage: Bacteria
Description: partial 16S ribosomal RNA
Rfam family: Bacterial small subunit ribosomal RNA
Source: RNAcentral
CUACGGGGGGCUGCAGUGGGGAAUAUUGCACAAUGGAGGAAACUCUGAUGCAGCAACGCCGCGUGGAGGAUGACACUUUUCGGAGCGUAAACUCCUUUUAUAUAGGAAGAAGAUGACGGUACUAUAUGAAUAAGCGCCGGCUAACUCCGUGCCAGCAGCCGCGGUAAUACGGAGGGCGCAAGCGUUACUCGGAAUCACUGGGCGUAAAGAGCGUGUAGGCGGAUUAAAGUCAGAAGUGAAAUCCUAUAGCUUAACUAUAGAACUGCUUCUGAAACUCUUAAUCUAGAAUAUGGGAGAGGUAGAUGGAAUUUCUGGUGUAGGGGUAAAAUCCGUAGAGAUCAGAAGGAAUACCGAUUGCGAAGGCGAUCUACUAGAACAUUAUUGACGCUGAGACGCGAAAGCGUGGGGAGCAAACAGGAUUAGAUACCCUGGUAGUC